Molecule: long non-coding RNA, 1348 nt
Filed under: Salmo salar (Atlantic salmon)
Lineage: Eukaryota; Metazoa; Chordata; Actinopteri; Salmoniformes; Salmonidae
Description: lncRNA (ENSSSAG00000095641.1)
Source: RNAcentral
GGAACAGACACAUUUAGAACAGUCUGGUUUAUAGAGGAACAGUCUGGUUUAUAGAGGAACAGACACAUUUAAUAACAGCCUGGUUUAUAGAGGAACAGACACAUUUAGAACAGUCUGGUUUAUAGAGGCACAGACACAUUUAAUAACAGCCUGGUUUAUAGAGGAACAGACACAUUUAGAACAGUCUGGUUUAUAGAGGAACAGACACAUUUAGAACAGCCUGGUUUAUAGAGGAACAGCCUGGUUUAUAGAGGAACAGACACAUUUAGAACAGCCUGGUUUAUAGAGGAACAGACACAUUUAGAACAGCCUGGUUUAUAGAGGAACAGCCUGGUUUAUAGAGGAACAGCCUGGUUUAUAGAGGAACAUACACAUUUAGAACAGCCUGGUUUAUAGAGGAACAGACACAUUUAAAACAGCCUGGUUUAUAGAGGAACAGCCUGGUUUAUAGAGGAACAGACACAUUUAAAACAGCCUGGUUUAUAGAGGAACACACAUUUAGAACAGCCUGGUUUAUAGAGGAACAGCCUGGUUUAUAGAGGAACAGACACAUUUAGAACAGUCUGGUUUAUAGAGGCACAGACACAUUUAGAACAGUCUGGUUUAUAGAGGAACAGCCUGGUUUAUAGAGGAACAGACACAUUUAGAACAGCCUGGUUUAUAGAGGAACAGACACAUUUAGAACAGCCUGGUUUAUAGAGGAACAGUCUGGUUUAUAGAGGAACAGACACAUUUAGAACAGUCUGGUUUAUAGAGGAACAGACACAUUUAGAACAGCCUGGUUUAUAGAGGAACAGACACAUUUAGAACAGUCUGGUUUAUAGAGGCACAGACACAUUUAAUAACAGCCUGGUUUAUAGAGGAACAGACACAUUUAGAACAGUCUGGUUUAUAGAGGAACAGCCUGGUUUAUAGAGGAACAGACACAUUUAGAACAGCCUGGUUUAUAGAGGAACAGUCUGGUUUAUAGAGGAACAGACACAUUUAGAACAGCCUGGUUUAUAGAGGAACAGCCUGGUUUAUAGAGGAACAGACACAUUUAGAACAGACUGGUUUAUAGACGUACAGCCUGGUUUAUAGAGGCACCGACACAUUUAGAACAGCCUGGUUUAUAGAGGAACAGACACAUUUAGAACAGCCUGGUUUAUAGAGGCACAGCCUGGUUUAUAGAGGAACAGCCUGGUUUAUAGAGGAACAGACACAUUUAGAACAGUCUGGUUUAUAGAGGAACAGCCGGAUUUAUAGAGGAACAGACACAUUUAGAACAGCCUGGUUUAUAGAGGAACAGACACAUUUAGAACAGUCUGGUUUAUAGAGGAACACACAUUUAGAACAGCCUGGUUUAUAG